Molecule: ribosomal RNA, 253 nt
Filed under: uncultured bacterium
Lineage: Bacteria
Description: partial 16S ribosomal RNA
Rfam family: Bacterial small subunit ribosomal RNA
Source: RNAcentral
UACGAAGGGGGCUAGCGUUGCUCGGAAUCACUGGGCGUAAAGGGUGCGUAGGCGGGUCUUUAAGUCAGGGGUGAAAUCCUGGAGCUCAACUCCAGAACUGCCUUUGAUACUGAAGAUCUUGAGUUCGGGAGAGGUGAGUGGAACUGCGAGUGUAGAGGUGAAAUUCGUAGAUAUUCGCAAGAACACCAGUGGCGAAGGCGGCUCGCUGGACCGGUUCUGACGCUGAGGCGCGAAAGCGUGGGGAGCAAACGGG